This 184-nucleotide non-coding RNA is filed under the name Gammaproteobacteria bacterium. RNAcentral's name for it is "6S RNA". It matches the Rfam family "6S / SsrS RNA". Rfam says of the family: E. coli 6S RNA was the first non coding RNA to be sequenced, but its function was unknown until recently. It consists of 184 nucleotides that fold into an extended hairpin structure with a large single-stranded internal bulge. The 6S RNA specifically associates with RNA polymerase holoenzyme containing the sigma70 specificity factor. Lineage: Bacteria; Pseudomonadati; Pseudomonadota; Gammaproteobacteria. RNAcentral also lists the same sequence under 1 other name. The record is from RNAcentral.
CGCCUCCUGCGGUGUUCGAGGGCUGCCCAGGGUACCCUUGAGCCUAAAUGCAAACCCAGGGCCGAACCGAAUGGCGCCCUUGUGCAUGUCCGCUUCAUCGCGGAAAGCCUUCCAGCUCCAUCGUUCUGCCCACUUGAACCGCUGGUUCAAGGUCACGGUCGGCCACGGCACAGGCGGGAGGCGU